AAUAUAUUAAUAGUAUGUAGAAUUCGCUGGACAGGGCUAACUCGUAUUAAACGAAAUGUUGUUCUAUUUUCUCUUAUUUGUGAGUGUCGGAGGAGGUAUCGGGAGUAAUAUGGAACUGAAUGCAACGCUAUUGGAAUGGUUUCCACCACUAUACCGCUUAGAUGAUUGGGCGUUCUGUCAGAAGCCCACGGACAAAUAUUGCAUUGUUGACGCCGCGCUGUAUUCAAACAAGCCUUCAUCACUUCUUGAUGUUCUAAAGGAGUAUUCUUCCCAAACUUUGAAACACUUCAACAGGACCCAAAUUCACAGAGGUCUCUGCAUAACGCGAUGUGGGGUGAACACUACCGAUGAGCUGGAGGCAGCCCAGGCCUGCAUCAAUAACGAAGUUCAAAAAUAUGAGCUUCAGGCUGAAGUGCUUUCGCCGCAAAGAUGCUCUACGCCGGGUCCCAAGCGAGCUUCAGGAGCUGCGAUUGCACUGGGUGUCGUCAUGGCCUUGAUUUUAAUACUUACAAUAGCUGCUACUGUAGUGGAAUUUAAGCUUAAAA
Long non-coding RNA from Pieris napi, 545 nucleotides. RefSeq lists it as uncharacterized. The transcript has 4 exons. Lineage: Eukaryota; Metazoa; Arthropoda; Insecta; Lepidoptera; Pieridae. The record is from RefSeq and is a predicted model, not a curated record.